ACGACCUUACUUGAACAGGAUCUGUUCUAUAGGAUCGUACUGUUGCAUCCUUGAUUAAUAAGGAGGCAAGUACUUAAACCUGGUUGAUGAGUAAAUGACCUGUGGGCCAGAGCGUGAUUAACGGCCAGGAUUCAGUCUCUGUGCUUUGUCUGGUGCUGUAGAUGAUCGUUCCUGGUCAGGAGCCCCUGGCUAAGGGUGGCCCACAGGUUGUCUGACAGGUC
Zea mays is the source of this 221-nucleotide non-coding RNA. Lineage: Eukaryota; Viridiplantae; Streptophyta; Magnoliopsida; Poales; Poaceae. The record is from Rfam.